This 492-nucleotide ribosomal RNA is filed under the name uncultured bacterium. RNAcentral's name for it is "partial 16S ribosomal RNA". It matches the Rfam family "Bacterial small subunit ribosomal RNA", at positions 29 to 507 of the family's 1533-position model. The record is from RNAcentral.
AGUGAACGCUGGCGGUAGGCCUAACACAUGCAAGUCGAACGGCAGCACAGUAAGAGCUUGCUCUUACGGGUGGCGAGUGGCGGACGGGUUAGGCAUACAUCGGAAUCUACUUUUUCGUGGGGGAUAACGUAGGGAAACUUACGCUAAUACCGCAUACUACCUACGGGUGAAAGCAGGGGAUCUUCGGACCUUGCGCGAUUGAAUGAGCCGAUGUCGGAUUAGCUAGUUGGCGGGGUAAAGGCCCACCAAGGCGCCGAUCCGUAGCUGGUCUGAGAGGAUGAUCAGCCACACUGGAACUGAGAAACGGUCCAGACUCCUACGGGAGGCAGCAGUGGGGAAUAUUGGACAAUGGGCGAAAGCCGGAUCCAGCAAUACCGCGUGGGUGAAGAAGGCCUUCGGGUUGUAAAGCCCUUUUGUUGGGAAAGAAAAGAAGCAGGUUAAUACCCCGCUGUUCUGACGGUACCCAAAGAAUAAGCACCGGCUAACUUCGUG